Molecule: long non-coding RNA, 203 nt
Organism: Prunus persica (peach)
Lineage: Eukaryota; Viridiplantae; Streptophyta; Magnoliopsida; Rosales; Rosaceae
Exons: 3
Source: RefSeq, a predicted model, not a curated record
GGCUUCUCUUGGCAGAAUCAAUGGAGCUGGGGGAUGCAAUCUGAGGGUCUCUUUGAUUAUCAUCUUGAGUUUGGGUUUCCUAGCUAGCUCUGCCAUCGCCCACGUCAUUGUAGUUGCACUGCUUGAAAUUUCGCCACAGGUGAGUGGGCAAAAGUUAGCGCUUACCAUGAGGACUGCCUUGAUGUUAUUAUGACCAAGUUGAG